This 223-nucleotide ribosomal RNA is filed under the name uncultured bacterium. Its description in RNAcentral is "partial 16S ribosomal RNA". It matches the Rfam family "Bacterial small subunit ribosomal RNA", at positions 15 to 219 of the family's 1533-position model. The record is from RNAcentral.
GAUCCUGGCUCAGGAUGAACGCUGGCGGCGUGCUUAACACAUGCAAGUCGAACGGAACUCCUAUGAACGAGGUUUCGGCCAAGUGAAUAGGAUGUUUAGUGGCGGACGGGUGAGUAACGCGUGAGUAACCUGCCUUGGAGUGGGGAAUAACACAGUGAAAAUUGUGCUAAUACCGCAUAAUGCAUUUGGAUCGCAUGAUUCUGAAUGCCAAAGAUUUAUCGCU